RNAcentral lists this ribosomal RNA (433 nucleotides) under uncultured bacterium. RNAcentral describes it as "bacterial SSU rRNA". It matches the Rfam family "Bacterial small subunit ribosomal RNA", at positions 43 to 524 of the family's 1533-position model. The record is from RNAcentral.
CAGGCUUAACACAUGCAAGUCGAGCGCCCCGCAAGGGGAGCGGCAGACGGGUGAGUAACGCGUGGGAAUCUACCUUUUGCUACGGAACAACAGUUGGAAACGACUGCUAAUACCGUAUGUGCCCUUCGGGGGAAAGAUUUAUCGGCAAAGGAUGAGCCCGCGUUGGAUUAGCUAGUUGGUGAGGUAAAGGCUCACCAAGGCGACGAUCCAUAGCUGGUCUGAGAGGAUGAUCAGCCACACUGGGACUGAGACACGGCCCAGACUCCUACGGGAGGCAGCAGUGGGGAAUAUUGGACAAUGGGCGCAAGCCUGAUCCAGCCAUGCCGCGUGAGUGAUGAAGGCCCUAGGGUUGUAAAGCUCUUUCACCGGUGAAGAUAAUGACGGUAACCGGAGAAGAAGCCCCGGCUAACUUCGUGCCAGCAGCCGCGGUAAU